RNAcentral lists this ribosomal RNA (407 nucleotides) under uncultured bacterium. Its description in RNAcentral is "bacterial SSU rRNA". It matches the Rfam family "Bacterial small subunit ribosomal RNA", at positions 397 to 793 of the family's 1533-position model. The record is from RNAcentral.
CCGCGUGUAUGAAGAAGGCCUUCGGGUUGUAAAGUACUUUCAGCAGUGAGGAAGGUGGGUAUGUUAAUAGCAUAUUCAUUUGACGUUUAGCUGCAGAAGAAGCACCGGCUAACUCCGUGCCAGCAGCCGCGGUAAUACGGAGGGUGCGAGCGUUAAUCGGAAUUACUGGGCGUAAAGCGCAUGCAGGUGGUUUGUUAAGUCAGAUGUGAAAGCCCGGGGCUCAACCUCGGAAUUGCAUUUGAAAACUGGCAAACUAGAGUACUGUAGAGGGGGUAGGAAUUUCAGGUGUAGCGGUGAAAUGCGUAGAGAUCUGAAGGAAUACCGGUGGCGAAGGCGGCCCCCUGGACCAGAUACUGACACUCAGAUGCGAAAGCGUGGGGAGCAAACAGGAUUAGAUACCCUGGUAG